UACGAGUGCCCCGAGCGUUAUCCGGAAUCAUUGGGCGUAAAGGGUGUGUAGGUGGUUGUGUUAGUCAAUUGUUAAAACCUGGGGCUUAACCCCAGUUCUGCGAUUGAAACGGCACAACUAGAGGAUGCGAGGGAUGUAUGGAACUCAUGGAGUAGGGGUGAAAUCCGUUGAUAUCAUGGGGAACACCAAAAGCGAAGGCAGUACAUUGGCGCACUCCUGACACUGAAACACGAAAGCGUGGGUAGCGAAUGGG
RNAcentral lists this ribosomal RNA (253 nucleotides) under uncultured bacterium. RNAcentral's name for it is "partial 16S ribosomal RNA". It matches the Rfam family "Bacterial small subunit ribosomal RNA", at positions 524 to 776 of the family's 1533-position model. The record is from RNAcentral.